RNAcentral lists this unclassified non-coding RNA (272 nucleotides) under uncultured Lactarius. RNAcentral's name for it is "sequence contains ITS2". Lineage: Eukaryota; Fungi; Basidiomycota; Agaricomycetes; Russulales; Russulaceae. The record is from RNAcentral.
AAACCUCAACCUCCUUGGUUUCUUCUUGAGACCAAAGCAGGCUUGGACUUUGGAGGCCUCUGCUGGCCACCCUCUUUUCAGGAGGCCAGCUCCUCUUAAACAAAUUAGCAGGGUCCUCUUUGCCGAUCCUUGACGUGUGAUAAGAUGUUUCCAUGUCUUGGUUUCUGGCUCUGUCACUCUUGGGACCUGCUUCUAACUGUCAGGACCUUGCGUCGAGACAACGCUCGAGCAUGUCUUCCCUUUCUCGGGAAGCUCCCCUCGACCUCACAAAC